This is a non-coding RNA of Lupinus albus (white lupine), 65 nucleotides long. The record is from the annotation of a GenBank genome assembly. Lineage: Eukaryota; Viridiplantae; Streptophyta; Magnoliopsida; Fabales; Fabaceae.
GAAAUAGCUUAGUUGGUUAGAGCCUGUGACAUAACUAUAAGGUCGAAGGUUCAAGCCCUUCUUCA